GGAGCUUGCUCCUUUGACGUUAGCGGCGGACGGGUGAGUAACACGUGGGUAACCUACCUAUAAGACUGGGAUAACUUCGGGAAACCGGAGCUAAUACCGGAUAACAUUUGGAACCGCAUGGUUCUAAAGUGAAAGAUGGUUUUGCUAUCACUUAUAGAUGGACCCGCGCCGUAUUAGCUAGUUGGUAAGGUAACGGCUUACCAAGGCGACGAUACGUAGCCGACCUGAGAGGGUGAUCGGCCACACUGGAACUGAGACACGGUCCAGACUCCUACGGGAGGCAGCAGUAGGGAAUCUUCCGCAAUGGGCGAAAGCCUGACGGAGCAACGCCGCGUGAGUGAUGAAGGGUUUCGGCUCGUAAAACUCUGUUAUUAGGGAAGAACAAAUGUGUAAGUAACUGUGCACGUCUUGACGGUACCUAAUCAGAAAGCCACGGCUAACUACGUGCCAGCAGCCGCGGUAAUACGUAGGUGGCAAGCGUUAUCCGGAAUUAUUGGGCGUAAAGCGCGCGUAGGCGGUUUCUUAAGUCUGAUGUGAAAGCCCACGGCUCAACCGUGGAGGGUCAUUGGAAACUGGGAAACUUGAGUGCAGAAGAGGAAAGUGGAAUUCCAUGUGUAGCGGUGAAAUGCGCAGAGAUAUGGAGGAACACCAGUGGCGAAGGCGACUUUCUGGUCUGUAACUGACGCUGAUGUGCGAAAGCGUGGGGAUCAAACAGGAUUAGAUACCCUGGUAGUCCACGCCGUAAACGAUGAGUGCUAAGUGUUAGGGGGUUUCCGCCCCUUAGUGCUGCAGCUAACGCAUUAAGCACUCCGCCUGGGGAGUACGACCGCAAGGUUGAAACUCAAAGGAAUUGACGGGGACCCGCACAAGCGGUGGAGCAUGUGGUUUAAUUCGAAGCAACGCGAAGAACCUUACCAAAUCUUGACAUCCUUUGAAAACUCUAGAGAUAGAGCCUUCCCCUUCGGGGGACAAAGUGACAGGUGGUGCAUGGUUGUCGUCAGCUCGUGUCGUGAGAUGUUGGGUUAAGUCCCGCAACGAGCGCAACCCUUAAGCUUAGUUGCCAUCAUUAAGUUGGGCACUCUAGGUUGACUGCCGGUGACAAACCGGAGGAAGGUGGGGAUGACGUCAAAUCAUCAUGCCCCUUAUGAUUUGGGCUACACACGUGCUACAAUGGACAAUACAAAGGGCAGCUAAACCGCGAGGUCAUGCAAAUCCCAUAAAGUUGUUCUCAGUUCGGAUUGUAGUCUGCAACUCGACUACAUGAAGCUGGAAUCGCUAGUAAUCGUAGAUCAGCAUGCUACGGUGAAUACGUUCCCGGGUCUUGUACACACCGCCCGUCACACCACGAGAGUUUGUAACACCCGAAGCCGGUGGAGUAACCAUUUAUGGAGCUAGCCGUCGAAG
RNAcentral lists this ribosomal RNA (1404 nucleotides) under Staphylococcus saprophyticus. RNAcentral's name for it is "bacterial SSU rRNA". It matches the Rfam family "Bacterial small subunit ribosomal RNA". Lineage: Bacteria; Bacillati; Bacillota; Bacilli; Caryophanales; Staphylococcaceae. The record is from RNAcentral.